AAUAUUGGACAAUGGGGGCAACCCUGAUCCAGCCAUGCCGCGUGUGUGAAGAAGGUCGUCGGAUUGUAAAGCACUUUAAGUUGGGAGGAAGGGGUUGAAGCUAAUACCUUCAAUCUUUGACGUUACCAACAGAAUGAUCACCCGCUAACUCUGUGCCAGCAGCCGAGGUAAUACAGAGGGUGCAAGCGUUAAUCGGAAUUACUGGGCGUAAAGCGCGCGUAGGUGGUUCAGUAAGAUGGAAGUGAAAUCCCCGGGCUUAACCUGGGAACUGCUUUCAUAACUGCUGAGCUAGAGUACGGUAGAGGGUAGUGGAAUUUCCUGUGUAUCGGUGAAAUGCGUAGAUAUAGGAAGGAACACCAGUGGCGAAGGCGACUACCUGGACUGAUACUGACACUGAGGUGCGAAAGCGUGGGGAGCAAACAGG
RNAcentral lists this ribosomal RNA (424 nucleotides) under uncultured bacterium. RNAcentral describes it as "partial 16S ribosomal RNA". It matches the Rfam family "Bacterial small subunit ribosomal RNA", at positions 360 to 776 of the family's 1533-position model. The record is from RNAcentral.